Molecule: long non-coding RNA, 3459 nt
Filed under: Salmo salar (Atlantic salmon)
Lineage: Eukaryota; Metazoa; Chordata; Actinopteri; Salmoniformes; Salmonidae
Description: lncRNA (ENSSSAG00000119874.1)
Source: RNAcentral
AGCAUAAAUGCAAUAUCGGCAGACCGAAUAUGUCGAGACACCCGCCUGUGGUUUUUGGGUCUCUAGACAUUCGGGGGCACUUUAUAUGACCCUUGUAUGCAUACAGGAUGUUGCCCGAAAAAAUGGCACCCCCCCAGCUCUGUAAACUCAUUGCAGAAUAGUGAAACUAGCCAGUCGGUAAGAGAGCCUAAAGCGCAACAUCAGGCCAACAGACAGAAGAGUUAGCAGGCCAACAGAUAAUCGCGGAAUCGGUCCUAAUGGAGCUUUCUGAAGGGUCUCAAUCCUUUACACAGCUUCUCCGGGGGAUAGAUGAUUUCGAACAGCAUUCGUCAGAGGGGGAUUCUCAGAAUCAAACUGCGUGCAGCCCUUUAAGUAGCCAAUCCCCAUCACACUAUUGUCGACCGGACAGACCCAAAAGAAGGAUCACGGGUGCUUCAUGUACUCUGAACGAUGACAUCGAUGCUAUUCUGCCUUUCUGUUCGAACGGGUUUACCCUAACUCCCCCAGGAACCAAGCUACAUAUUUCCGCCCCAAACAUGGCACAACAUCUGCGCAAGUGCAUUGCGCAGAACCCCCCCGGCCCGAAAAGUUACUGCUUCAAGAAACGGCCCUAUACGGACAAGACUCCAAUGAGACAUGCCAUGCAGAAUCUGCAAGGCCUGGUGAAAAAAGUCUAAAGCCCCCGGUUUCCGUGAUUCGUCAGAACAGCCCGCGUCAAAAAAGCCAAGACUCCUCCCCGGCGUAUAAUGGCACAGAAGACCAUACACACCGAGAACACGCAGAGGAUUUCGGCACGCCAGACAUUCACAAUAAAACAACAAAACCGGAUGAUUUCAACGUUUUAAAUGACAUUCCUGAGGUAGACGACUGGAUAUUCUGUAACGCAGCCAAUCUUCUUGAUUCCUCCAAUUCUUAUGUAGAAACACCCAAACCUGAAAUAGACCAAGCUGGGUUUAUCAAUGCCUUUUCAAAGGCUCUAAAAUCCAGAAAUGUCUUGCUACACAAACGAAUGGUUAAUUUACUCGAGCGGCAAUACAGUCAGGAUCUAUCCUUCUGGCGUAGAACAAUUGUCACGAAUCCCACAGAAGGUGGCUCCCCUGCCUGCUCGGGCGGCGCUCGGCGGUCGUCGUCGCCGGCCUACUAGCCGCCGCUGAUCCCUUUUUCCUUUUCUGUUGGUAUGUCUUAUUGUUUGCACCUGUUCCUUAUUUGUGUGCGUUGAUUUGUGGUUAUUUAAGCCUGUUUAGCCCGCCCAGGUUUGUGCGGGAUUAUUUUAUCGUCAGUGUGCUUGUUUCAUGUGCUGGCGAUCUGCUUGGUUUAUUUUCUUUCCGGACUGUGUGCCCGUUGUGUAUGGGUUGGGAAUUUUGUUCACACGCCUGUUGUGUUGGCGUCGACCAUGUCGUACCAGAGAAAAUAAAUCUCAUUUUUCCUUACCUCUGCUCUCUGCGCCUGACUCCUACCACCACUCCUAGCAUUCGUGACAACAAUGCCCCGUUUGUUAAGCAACAAACCGUUUAAAAAACGCAAAUACCGGCGGUAAAAACAGUUACCGAAAUGGACAUGCCAAUAAUUGAGACAGUUGAAAGCCUUUUGGCGAAAAUACCCCCCGAUCUACAAGCUUUAAUUGAACGGAUGAACGAGGGUGGGGUAUCAGACAUAAUUCCGAUAGACGAAAAUCUAUUUUCCCAAAUUCCCGCCGACCUAAUUGAAAUAAUUAAACAUAUGAACGAGUCAGGAACAACCUAUGAAAACCAAUUAUUGCAAAUCCCGCCCGCCCUAGUUUUUUUAAUAAACCAGAUGAACGAGAGCAUGAGAUCUUCUACACCGGAACCCGCACACACCCCGCCAUUAACGCCCAUGUCAGAAGAGUCUGUAACGCAAUAUGAUGUUUUUGGCCGUACCAAUGCUUUGACCUUGCGGUAUGUAGCGCAACCAGACGAGACAAUAGGAUAUGUAGAUUUUACAUCUCUUUAUCCUCAUGUAAUGAGUUCCUCAUGCUAUCCUAUGGGGCAUCCUAAAAUUAUUCACCGUGACUUUGACUUACCCCAAAACUAUUUUGGUCUGAUCAAAGCAACUGUCUACCCACCUAGGGGUUUGUUUAUACCAGUGUUGCCUUACAAGGGACCUCAAGGAAAACUUUUCUUUCCCCUAUGUCGCACCUGCAGUGAAAACAACAACCAGGAAAAGCCUUGUGAUCACUCAGAUCAGGAAAGAGCCCUCACAGGUGUCUGGGUUACACCUGAAUUCUCAAAGGCUCUAGAUAAGGGGUACCGUGUGGCCAAAAUCUUUGAAGUGUGGAACUUUUCCAUGAAAUCAGACACUCUUUUUAAAGAGUACAUCAAGACCUUCUUGAGAUGCAAGCAAAUGGCUUCAAGCUAUCCUGCAUCCGUCACAGAUCAAGAGAGCAAAGACAAGUACAUUCGAGACUAUCAUGACACAGAAGGCAUACUUCUUGACCCCGACCGAAUAGAGGUCAACAAGACCAAACGAAAUGUGUCGAAAUUGUACUUAAACUCGCUUUGGGGGAAGCUUUCGCAGAGAUGCAAUAUGCUAAGAUCGUCGAUCAUUAAAGACCCCGAAGAAUUUUUGGAAUUUGUUUUUUCGGACCAAUACGAAAUUUCACAUUUUUCAUUCUUGAGUCAAGACAUUGCCCUGGUGCAAUGGAGACAUAACAAGAAGUGGGUUCUACCCCCGGGUAAUGUAAAUGUGUUUCUUGCAGCAUUUACCACGGCCUAUUGCCGACUUCAACUGUACGCCCUCAUGGAGCAGCUUCAGAGGAGGGUUCUUUACCGUGACACAGACUCUGUGGUCUAUGUAAGCAAACAGGGUGACUGGACCCCCCACUUAGCAACUAUCUGGGUGGUUUAACGAGUGAACUCAAAGAUGGUGACCAUAUCACAGAAUGGUCCUCCUGUGGGCCCAAAAGCUAUGCUUUUAGGACUAAAUACAAUCACGUGGUGUUGAAAGACAAAGGCGUGACUCAAAACUACGAAAAUGCCCCGCGUGUAAACUUGGAAUCAAUCACACACUUGGUCGAGGGGUUCAUAAACGAUCGGAAUAGUGACUUGGAGAUUUUGAGCUCCUACAAAAACAUUGUUAGGGAUAAAAAGGGAUUUCAUCUCAGGAAUGCCCCAGUUACUAAAAGAUUCAGGGUAGUCUAUGACAAGAGACUGCUUUUACCUAACGGGACCACACUGCCCUUUGGCUACUGACUUAUGCUACAAGCCCCAGUGUGUCUUAAAGCUUAAGAUAUAAUGGCUGCUGUAGAAGGUUUUGACCCCCGGUUGCAACUACCAUUUUCGGCCUUAAUCUCAGGCCCCUCCAACAGUGGUAAAACUUGUUUUGUAAAAAGUAUUUUAGAGAAUUCUGAACAUGUGUUAUCUCAGAAGCCUGACAAUAUUGUGUGGUGUUAUUCAUGUUAUCAUGAUGAAUUGUUGAAGAAAAUAAAAAUCAAGUUUGUUG